Molecule: long non-coding RNA, 463 nt
Filed under: Homo sapiens (human)
Lineage: Eukaryota; Metazoa; Chordata; Mammalia; Primates; Hominidae
Description: non-protein coding lnc-EML4-2:1
Source: RNAcentral
GUUUUCAAUGGCAGUAGCUUCAAUUUCCUUCCUGCUGGUGUGAAAAGGAUGACUGGAGCAGGCAGGGCUGAUCCAGGUGCAGGUGGGGAGGAUCAAACAGCCUGCCCACUGCUCCCUCUCCUCUCCUCACUGGGGCUGAGGGAGUCUCCUGUGGGAGAGAGGGGGCCAUCUUUCCUUCGUCCCCGAGGAGAGGUCAACCUGAUUGUGCUGCCCUUGCUUGCCUAGGGCAGUUGCUUCUCGGGUUGGUAGAUACUGGGCUUAGUGCUGGAAUGUGGAUACUGGACUCAUUUCUGAUUUUCUGGCUCUUCAGCAAUGUUGACCCAGGCCCUCCCUAUCACAUGGGAUUAGAGGAAGGAGGUUUAGGCAGGCAGAUCACAUGAGGUCAGGAGUUCAAGACCAGCCUGCCAACAUGGUGGAACCACGUCUCUACUAAAACAGGCAUGCUGGUGUGUUUCUGUAGUCC